Molecule: long non-coding RNA, 202 nt
Organism: Nothoprocta perdicaria
Lineage: Eukaryota; Metazoa; Chordata; Aves; Tinamiformes; Tinamidae
Exons: 2
Source: RefSeq, a predicted model, not a curated record
AAAGCAAAAGCUGCUGGAAAAGGGCCCCUCGCUAGUGGUGGCAUCAAGAAGUCUGGUAAGAAGUAGGAUGACCAAGCUGCUGGAAAAAGCGAUCGAGUUAUUCAGUGGACCUGCUGGCUUCAGAAAGCCAAGAAAACUCACCUUCAUUUGAAAACCUUGUACAUUUUGUUUAGUCAGAAUAAACCUUUUUUGUUAAGAUGUC